This 497-nucleotide ribosomal RNA is filed under the name uncultured bacterium. RNAcentral's name for it is "partial 16S ribosomal RNA". It matches the Rfam family "Bacterial small subunit ribosomal RNA", at positions 28 to 507 of the family's 1533-position model. The record is from RNAcentral.
GAUGAACGCUGGCGGCGUGCCUAAUACAUGCGAGUCGAGCGAACGGGCGAGAAGCUUGCUUCUCUGAUGUUAGCGGCGGACGGGUGAGUAACACGUGGAUAACCUACCUAUAAGACUGGGAUAACUUCGGGAAACCGGAGCUAAUACCGGAUGAUAUUUUGAACCGCAUGGUUCAAAAGUGAAAGACGGUCUUGCUGUCACUUAUAGAUGGAUCCGCGCUGCAUUAGCUAGUUGGUAAGGUAACGGCUUACCAAGGCAACGAUGCAUAGCCGACCUGAGAGGGUGAUCGGCCACACUGGAACUGAGACACGGUCCAGACUCCUACGGGAGGCAGCAGUAGGGAAUCUUCCGCAAUGGGCGAAAGCCUGACGGAGCAACGCCGCGUGAGUGAUGAAGGUCUUCGGAUCGUAAAACUCUGUUAUUAGGGAAGAACAUAUGUGUAAGUAACUGUGCACAUCUUGACGGUACCUAAUCAGAAAGCCACGGCUAACUACGUG